GACCUCAUCACAUAUGAGACAACCUGAGGUAAAGCUUGUAUAGCAGUCUUCAAGCCAAUGGAAUAGUGUUUGGCGAACAGUGCAUGUUACUGCAAAUGGGAAUGACAUUCCGUACAUGUGCAGUAGCAGCUGGAGCAUGCCACAGCUUCACAGAGCUUGUUGGCUACAGAGAGGAAGAACUGACAGAUUUGAAAUAAAGAUGUCUAGGAUGACUUCAUGUAGGGCGUUACUGCUGGUUGUGGAACUGCAGCUAGACAUGAUGAUCUUACUGAAUUCAGGGCAGGUUAAGAAGAUUCAGCCCUAUCUGAUCAGCUUCCAUGACAGAACAGUUAUGGUCAUUUUCAUAUUCAUGACCAGGGCUUCAAAGCUUGCAGAAGAUAUGGUCUCUUGGGGUCAUUGGAUGUCUGCCCUGUGAAUCUUUGUAUUGUUUUCCCACAUUAAGAUGCUUAGCCCUGAAUGUAUAGUCCUAAAAUGAUCCAUUACCUGUAUCUUUAUGGAAACGAAGGAGGGAAAAGAAGAAUAUCUGGGUAAUCUCUGCACCUGAGGAAAAUCUAUGGCAGCUUGUGACUGCUGUAAUGAGCCCUGGGGCCACUGGCAGUUGGCAUCUUUCAGCUGCUGUGCCUUGUGCUGGAAGGCUGGACCACCACGAAGCAGCUCCAAGAAACCAUCCGUUCUCUUGAAGGUGGGAAGCAUCUUCCCACACUGUCAGAUUUGAAUAUUUAAUCUAGAGAGUGAACUUGAGUUGAAAUGCAACUCCUUUGGCAAAGGAAACUGCCUUUGAAGUUUUUGGAUCUGCAUUCCAUGUUUCCUGUUUUAAACUGAAAGAACAAAGCACUCUGGAAUAGUGCACUGUAAGCACCCUGUGAAAUCUGCAUGUCAGACAUCUGGCCAGCUGACAUGAGGAGCCAGACACAAGGAGGAGGUCCAGGGGCAUUUCAUUCAUCUUCCCAUCAAACAACCUGCCUCAGGUAUUGACUUGCUGGUAGGAAAUUUUGGCUAGACUGAUACCGAGAGGGCCAGAUGGAAGCGUCAUCCUUCAGCAUUGCUUGUUUUGCGUAACACUGGGAUUGGAACUACAUUUGAAUAGCACAUAGUCAUAGAUGUGUAAGUAUAUAAAUAUUUGGCUUUUCCAUCCAUGUAUUUUCUCUUCUAAUGUUUUGGUUUGGUUUUCUUCAAUGCAAGUUUUCUACAGGGAAAACUGUGACAAACAAGUAAAUGUUCUGCCUUGACAGAAGAGUCUUAAACAGGAAAAAAGGAUGAUUUUGGUCAAGAUUUGAGAGAGAAAAUGACACUCAAGUGGUAAGUUUCUAAGACAGCUGAUGACUUGACUUACCUUGGUUUCAGGGCACUGAUAACACUCCUGUUGGACUGAUCUGGAAUGAUGUGGGGUUGUUUUUUUCUUCUUCGGAAGCUUUAUUUUAAGCUCUCCUACAAUCUGAACUUUGAUUUUCAGUUGUAUUUAUGGAUUUGUUCUCUGCUGUCAGACUGCAAUCAAUUGACUGAAAUCCAUAAAUAAUAAACGUCAAGUUUCAAUUUAAUGCAGUAACAAGAUGCUAUUGGAAGAAGUUUUCCAUACUUGAAUGGCUUUUUAUAGCCAAAUCCUGACACGUUCCUAGUGAUAGGAAGCUAAUGGCUUUCCCGCAUGUUUGUGAAGCCCAUGUGACAAAUCCUAUACGGUAACUGAAGGAGAGGACACUCGUGCACCUGUUUGUGGAA
Long non-coding RNA from Neopsephotus bourkii (Bourke's parrot), 1716 nucleotides. RefSeq lists it as uncharacterized. The transcript has 10 exons. The record is from RefSeq and is a predicted model, not a curated record. NCBI's taxonomy places the organism in Eukaryota, Metazoa, Chordata, Aves, Psittaciformes, Psittacidae.